Long non-coding RNA from Etheostoma spectabile (orangethroat darter), 104 nucleotides. RefSeq lists it as uncharacterized. The transcript has 3 exons. The record is from RefSeq and is a predicted model, not a curated record. Lineage: Eukaryota; Metazoa; Chordata; Actinopteri; Perciformes; Percidae.
GACCCCCUUAGCAACUUUUUGCUCACAAGAGAGACUAGCGACAAAUCUGGCGACUUUCUGUAGAAAAGACAGCGAUUUUCUGUAAAAAAAAAAAGAGACACCAG